AGAGUUUGAUCCUGGCUCAGAUUGAACGCUGGCGGAAUGCUUUACACAUGCAAGUCGAGCGGCAGCGCGAGGCAACCUGGCGGCGAGCGGCGAACGGGUGAGUAAUGCAUCGGAACAUGUCCAUGUCGUGGGGGAUAGCCCGGCGAAAGCCGGAUUAAUACCGCAUAAGCCCGAGAGGGGAAAGUGGGGGACCGCAAGGCCUCACGCGAUUGGGUUGGCCGAUGUCCGAUUAGCUUGUUGGUGAGGUAAAGGCUUACCAAGGCGAUGAUCGGUAGCUGGUCUGAGAGGAUGAUCAGCCACACUGGGACUGAGACACGGCCCAGACUCCUACGGGAGGCAGCAGUGGGGAAUUUUGGACAAUGGGGGCAACCCUGAUCCAGCCAUUCCGCGUGAGUGAAGAAGGCCUUCGGGUUGUAAAGCUCUUUUGUCCGGAGCGAAACGGUUACGGUGAAUAUCCGUGACUACUGACGGUACCGGAAGAAUAAGCACCGGCUAACUACGUGCCAGCAGCCGCGGUAAUACGUAGGGUGCGAGCGUUAAUCGGAAUUACUGGGCGUAAAGCGUGCGCAGGCGGUUUUGUAAGCCAGAUGUGAAAUCCCCGGGCUUAACCUGGGAAUGGCAUUUGGGACUGCAAGGCUGGAGUAUGGCAGAGGGGACUAGAAUUCCUGGUGUAGCAGUGAAAUGCGUAGAUAUCAGGAGGAAUACCGAUGGCGAAGGCAGGUCCCUGGGCUAUACUGACGCUCAUGCACGAAAGCGUGGGGAGCAAACAGGAUUAGAUACCCUGGUAGUCCACGCCCUAAACGAUGUCGACUGGUUGUUGGGGGUUUGACACUCUCAGUAACGAAGCUAACGCGUGAAGUCGACCGCCUGGGGAGUACGGCCGCAAGGUUAAAACUCAAAGGAAUUGACGGGGACCCGCACAAGCGGUGGAUUAUGUGGAUUAAUUCGAUGCAACGCGAAAAACCUUACCUACCCUUGACAUGUCCUGAAGCCUGGAGAGAUCCGGGUGUGCCCGAAAGGGAACGGGAACACAGGUGCUGCAUGGCUGUCGUCAGCUCGUGUCGUGAGAUGUUGGGUUAAGUCCCGCAACGAGCGCAACCCUUGUCAUUAGUUGCUACAUUUAGUUGGGCACUCUAAUGAGACUGCCGGUGACAAACCGGAGGAAGGUGGGGAUGACGUCAAGUCCUCAUGGCCCUUAUGGGUAGGGCUUCACACGUAAUACAAUGGCGCGUACAGAGGGUUGCCAAGCCGCGAGGUGGAGCCAAUCCCAGAAAGCGCGUCGUAGUCCGGAUCGCAGUCUGCAACUCGACUGCGUGAAGUCGGAAUCGCUAGUAAUCGCGGAUCAGCAUGUCGCGGUGAAUACGUUCCCGGGUCUUGUACACACCGCCCGUCACACCAUGGGAGCGGGUUUCACCAGAAGCCGGUCGCCUAACCGCAAGGGGGGCGCCGACCACGGUGAGAUUCGUGACUGGGGUGAAGUCGUAACAAGGUA
This 1492-nucleotide ribosomal RNA is filed under the name metagenome. Its description in RNAcentral is "bacterial SSU rRNA". It matches the Rfam family "Bacterial small subunit ribosomal RNA". The record is from RNAcentral.